AGCACAAUGGGUAUACCAGGUGGUCUGUACGUUCACCUUGGUUGUAUUGAAAGUACUGAAAACAUUUCUAUCAGCAUGCUUUCUGCUAAGAGAAUAAAAAACACCCUUGAGAAACCCAUUUGAAAUGAGAGCUUCAUCAGCAAAAGUCUUUCCUUCAAUAAAUUUCUGAGUGAAACCUGAAAUGCAGUCUAGGGAAGGCUUUUUUAUUGGACAAGUCUUCACCAGCUAGGUCCCAGUAGAAAUUGGUGGGCAGAACUCACCAUGAAUGCCUCCCAUGUUCUCUUUUAAUGGCAAUGGUGCUCACCUGAGAGGUGCCAGAACCUAGUUCUGGUGAGUUCUGGCUAGGGAAAAAAGCCCUAGCCUUUUGUAAGAUCAGCUCAUGGAGAAUAAGGCUACCAGGGCGUACUAAACAUGAUGGAUAUGUUACUUCUAGUAACAUACUUCCCAUCCACACAAACAGCAAUUUUAUUUCUGUCUGAAAUUGCAUUGAGGGCUCUUAUCAGAGAGCUCCUUCUUAGAUUGUGGCCCUCAGCGGAUACCCAACCAGGCAAAGCCUUGACACCAAUCCUAGCCUGAAGCAGGAACUGCAUUUCUGCGUCAGUUUUUCAUUGUGGGCUUUGUGACGGUUGUUGGAUUUUGCUGUCUCCUGUCUUUGGGCUCCUUUUAUGGAGGUCUUAGUCUUAAUCCUUAAUCCCUCCAACUAAAUUUAUCAGCUGUUGAUUCUAGCCAAGAGUUAAGCUAAAUUAAACUUUGGAAUUCCAUGUAGAGUGUAUCAGAUGCACUUGAGUUAAGGGGAGGUGGAGCUGCAACCCAGCGAGUGCCCUAAUUACAAGCUGCCUGGGGAGCCAUCCUUCACACCAGAGGCUUCUUUCUCACCUCUUCAAGCCUGUUACAGUUUUGGUGGCUUUGACAUGACAGAAAACUGAUCCAGGGGUGCAGUGCGCCAAGUCAAAACACCUACUGUCCAGCAGAGAACUCAAGGGAAGUGAUGUCACACAGUGCCCUCUCUAGUAAUCAGGAACUCUAGAGCUGCGCUGCCGAUAAGCCACACUGAAGGACUGCUUUCAAAGGAUCUUUGCUUUUCCUGAUGCCCAGUAUCCGGGGGUGAGUGUUUUGAGCUCAGACUCGGCUCCAUAACACACCCACCACCGUACCUGCCUUGACAGAGGCGCGGCUCUGCCCUGGUUCCUUCCUCCCCACCCAGGUGUGGCCGCUCUGCGCGGGGGCUCCUCCAAUCAAUCCCAUCCUCCCUCCCGUUUGGCACACAGUUUAAAUAGCCGCGCGGGGACGGGAUGUCAUUUCGAUUCUCCGGGGACAAAUAAAUGGAAGUUUCAUCAGAGCGUCCCGCCAGAUUG
Non-coding RNA from Podarcis muralis (Common wall lizard), 1355 nucleotides. The record is from RefSeq and is a predicted model, not a curated record. Lineage: Eukaryota; Metazoa; Chordata; Lepidosauria; Squamata; Lacertidae.